RNAcentral lists this ribosomal RNA (164 nucleotides) under Oenothera kunthiana. RNAcentral describes it as "5.8S ribosomal RNA". It matches the Rfam family "5.8S ribosomal RNA". From Rfam's summary of the family: 5.8S ribosomal RNA (5.8S rRNA) is a component of the large subunit of the eukaryotic ribosome. It is transcribed by RNA polymerase I as part of the 45S precursor that also contains 18S and 28S rRNA. The record is from RNAcentral. Lineage: Eukaryota; Viridiplantae; Streptophyta; Magnoliopsida; Myrtales; Onagraceae.
CAAAACGACUCUCGGCAACGGAUAUCUCGGCUCUCGCAUCGAUGAAGAACGUAGCGAAAUGCGAUACUUGGUGUGAAUUGCAGAAUCCCGUGAACCAUCGAGUCUUUGAACGCAAGUUGCGCCCUAAGCCGUUUGGCCGAGGGCACGUCUGCCUGGGCGUCAAU